RNAcentral lists this ribosomal RNA (937 nucleotides) under uncultured bacterium. Its description in RNAcentral is "bacterial SSU rRNA". It matches the Rfam family "Bacterial small subunit ribosomal RNA", at positions 1 to 924 of the family's 1533-position model. The record is from RNAcentral.
AAUUCGCCCUUAGAGUUUGAUCCUGGCGUCAGGAUGAACGCUAGCUACAGGCUUAACACAUGCAAGUCGAGGGGCAGCAUGAACUUAGCUUGCUAAGUUUGAUGGCGACCGGCGCACGGGUGAGUAACACGUAUCCAACCUUCCGUUUACUCAGGGAUAGCCUUUCGAAAGAAAGAUUAAUACCUGAUAGUAUGGUGAGAUUGCAUGAUAGCACCAUUAAAGAUUUAUUGGUAAACGAUGGGGAUGCGUUCCAUUAGGUAGUAGGCGGGGUAACGGCCCACCUAGCCGACGAUGGAUAGGGGUUCUGAGAGGAAGGUCCCCCACAUUGGAACUGAGACACGGUCCAAACUCCUACGGGAGGCAGCAGUGAGGAAUAUUGGUCAAUGGGCGAGAGCCUGAACCAGCCAAGUAGCGUGAAGGAUGAAGGUCCUACGGAUUGUAAACUUCUUUUAUACGGGAAUAAAGUAUCCUACGUGUAGGAUUUUGUAUGUACCGUAUGAAUAAGCAUCGGCUAACUCCGUGCCAGCAGCCGCGGUAAUACGGAGGAUGCGAGCGUUAUCCGGAUUUAUUGGGUUUAAAGGGAGCGCAGACGGGAGAUUAAGUCAGUUGUGAAAGUUUGCGGCUCAACCGUAAAAUUGCAGUUGAUACUGGUUUCCUUGAGUGCAGUUGAGGCAGGCGGAAUUCGUGGUGUAGCGGUGAAAUGCUUAGAUAUCACGAAGAACCCCGAUUGCGAAGGCAGCUUGCUAAACUGUAACUGACGUUCAUGCUCGAAAGUGUGGGUAUCAAACAGGAUUAGAUACCCUGGUAGUCCACACGGUAAACGAUGGAUACUCGCUGUUGGCGAUAUACUGUCAGCGGCCAAGCGAAAGCAUUAAGUAUCCCACCUGGGGAGUACGCCGGCAACGGUGAAACUCAAAUGACAUUGACGGAAGGGCGA